Penaeus monodon (black tiger shrimp) is the source of this 221-nucleotide long non-coding RNA. RefSeq lists it as uncharacterized. NCBI's taxonomy places the organism in Eukaryota, Metazoa, Arthropoda, Malacostraca, Decapoda, Penaeidae. The transcript has 2 exons. The record is from RefSeq and is a predicted model, not a curated record.
UCGGCUCCCUAUAAUAGUGGAAGCCAUGUCCAUACCACACAUUGUGAAAAGGGUACAGCCACCGAUUGACUUUGAGCUGUACGGACCACCAAGGAAUCCUUAAAGGAACAACUCUUCACUCUGCUGCCAUUCCGAUAAAACCAGGAGUCAGGGAUACAUAAAUAUAUUACAUUCUAUGCAUAUGAGUAGAUAACAACUGCAAUAGAGGAAUAUUUAUGAAU